GAUGAAGAACGUAGCGAAAUGCGAUAAGUAAUGUGAAUUGCAGAAUUCAGUGAAUCAUCGAAUCUUUGAACGCACAUUGCGCCCGCCAGUAUUCUGGCGGGCAUGCCUGUUCGAGCGUCAUUUCAACCAUCAAGCCCCCGGCUUGUGUUGGGGACCUGCGGCUGCCGCAGGCCCUGAAAACCAGUGGCGGGCUCGCUAGUCACUCCGAGCGUAGUAGUUACAUCUCGCUCAGGGCGUGCUGCGGGUUCCGGCCGUUAAAAGCCUUAUUUACCCAAGGUUAACCUCGGAUCAGGUAGGAAGACCCGCUGAACUUAAGCAUAUCAAUAAGCGGAGGA
This 335-nucleotide unclassified non-coding RNA is filed under the name soil metagenome. RNAcentral describes it as "partial contains 5.8S ribosomal RNA, internal transcribed spacer 2, and large subunit ribosomal RNA". The stretch from base 1 to 120 matches the Rfam family "5.8S ribosomal RNA", at positions 35 to 154 of the family's 154-position model. The record is from RNAcentral.